UGGGGAAUUGUUCACAAUGGGCGCAAGCCUGAUGACGCAACGCCGCGUGGGGGAUGAAGGUCUUCGGAUCGUAAACCCCUGUCGAAUGGGACGAAAGACUCGCGAGUGAAUACUUCGCGAGAGUGACGGUACCGUUAAAGGAAGCCACGGCUAACUCUGUGCCAGCAGCCGCGGUAAUACAGAGGUGGCAAGCGUUGUUCGGAAUUACUGGGCGUAAAGGGCGCGUAGGCGGCCCUCUAAGUCAGACGUGAAAUCCCCGGCUUAACCUGGGAACUGCGUCUGAUACUGGAGGGCUUGAGUAUGGGAGAGGGAUGUAGAAUUCCAGGUGUAGCGGUGAAAUGCGUAGAUAUCUGGAGGAAUACCGGUGGCGAAGGCGGCAUCCUGGACCAUUACUGACGCUGAGGCGCGAAAGCUAGGGGAGCAAACGGGAUUAGAUACCCGUGUAGUCCCUGAGCGGGCUGGCAAGGCGCAU
This 472-nucleotide ribosomal RNA is filed under the name uncultured bacterium. RNAcentral describes it as "bacterial SSU rRNA". It matches the Rfam family "Bacterial small subunit ribosomal RNA", at positions 355 to 825 of the family's 1533-position model. The record is from RNAcentral.